ACUUAUAUAGUUUAACUAAAACACUUCAUUUUCAAUGAAGAGAUAAAUUAUAAUUAUUUUAUAGGUA
This 67-nucleotide transfer RNA is filed under the name Eurygaster testudinaria. Its description in RNAcentral is "tRNA-Glu". It matches the Rfam family "tRNA". From Rfam's summary of the family: Transfer RNA (tRNA) molecules are approximately 80 nucleotides in length. Lineage: Eukaryota; Metazoa; Arthropoda; Insecta; Hemiptera; Scutelleridae. The record is from RNAcentral.